CACCCUCACUCACUGCUCCCUCUUCUCAUUUCUUUGGGCAGCUACAGGAGGCAGGCUGCUGACAGGGAAGGGGCUGUUCCCCCAUGGUUCCCAGCUGUUUCUUUGUGGCCAUGCUGGCCCCUCUGGUUUUAUCUCUGGAACAGUCUCCAGACAUGGUGAUAAAAGAAGGGCAAUCCGUGAAACUGGAAUGUUCCAAGAAGAAAUCCUCUAACAUAGCUAUGUUCUGGUACAUGCUGCCUUCAGAAAAGAAUUCCCGUUUGACACUAUUGGCUUCUGCAGUACAAGGUGGCAACAUAGAAGUGGAGAAGGGUUUUGAGGGCCAUUUCAAGAGCAGCGACAUCAAAGGAGACAGCAUCACCCUCUCAAUAGACCAUGCCUUUCUCAAUGACUCUGGCACAUACUACUGUGCUGAGAGAGAACACAGUGGUGAAGCUGCUGAGGGAGCUGAGCACAAACUGCUCCCUGCACAUACAGGACCUGCUUUUCACUACAUGAGUGCUGCAUGA
Non-coding RNA from Prinia subflava (tawny-flanked prinia), 506 nucleotides. NCBI's taxonomy places the organism in Eukaryota, Metazoa, Chordata, Aves, Passeriformes, Cisticolidae. The record is from the annotation of a RefSeq genome assembly.